UACGUAGGUGGCAAGCGUUGUCCGGAUUUACUGGGCGUAAAGAGCGCGCAGGCGGUCGUUCAAGUCGCGUGUGAAAGCCCCCGGCUCAACUGGGGAGGGUCACGCGAUACUGAUCGACUCGAAGGCAGGAGAGGGAAGUGGAAUUCCCGGUGUAGUGGUGAAAUGCGUAGAUAUCAGGAAGAACACCCGUGGCGAAGGCGGCUCUCUGGGACGGUACUGACGCUGAGGCGCGACAGCGUGGGGAGCGAACUGG
RNAcentral lists this ribosomal RNA (253 nucleotides) under uncultured bacterium. Its description in RNAcentral is "partial 16S ribosomal RNA". It matches the Rfam family "Bacterial small subunit ribosomal RNA", at positions 524 to 776 of the family's 1533-position model. The record is from RNAcentral.